GGACCACCCUCCAAGGCUAAAUACUACCUAGUGACCGAUAGCGUAUAGUACCGUGAGGGAAAGGUGAAAAGAACCCCGGGAGGGGAGCGAAAUAGAACCUGAAACCCUGCACUUACAAGCUGUGGAAGCACAUUUCUUGUGUGACCGCGUACUUUUUGUAGAACGGGCCAACGAGUUACGUUAAGUAGCAAGGUUAAGCACUUAAGGUGUGGAGC
This 215-nucleotide ribosomal RNA is filed under the name Clostridioides difficile. RNAcentral's name for it is "partial 23S ribosomal RNA". It matches the Rfam family "Bacterial large subunit ribosomal RNA", at positions 450 to 666 of the family's 2925-position model. The record is from RNAcentral. Lineage: Bacteria; Bacillati; Bacillota; Clostridia; Peptostreptococcales; Peptostreptococcaceae.